UGCCAGCUGCCGCGGUAACACGGGGGGCGCAAGCGUUAUUCGGAAUUAUUGGGCGUAAAGGGCGCGCAGGCGGUCUUGUCCGUCAGGUGUGAAAGCUCGGGGCUCAACCCCGGAAGUGCACUUGAAGCAGCAUGACUUGAGUACGGGAGAGGAGGGAGGAAUUCCUGGUGUAGAGGUGAAAUUCGUAGAUAUCAGGAGGGACACCGAUGGCGAAGGCAUCUCUCUGGACCGAUACUGACGCUGAGGCGCGAAGGCGUGGGUAGCGAACGGGAUUAGAUA
This 279-nucleotide ribosomal RNA is filed under the name uncultured bacterium. RNAcentral describes it as "partial 16S ribosomal RNA". It matches the Rfam family "Bacterial small subunit ribosomal RNA", at positions 506 to 784 of the family's 1533-position model. The record is from RNAcentral.